AGUUCGAUACCAUCUCCUUUGGAAACAUUCCUCAAAUAACUCAGUCGAUCUCCCAGCAGCAGCAAAUAAAUCUGCCCAGUGCCGUCCAUCAGUCUUUCUUGCAACACUAACAACCACGUCAAAGUACUCCGGGAAAUUUCUAAUCAAAUCACAUGUCUUAUCCAGAAGUGAGGAACUUGUUGAAUGAUUGGGAAUAACACUAUGAUUCUUGCUCCCAGAAAUGUCGGCUUCAAACACAGUAAAAAGGAGCCACUCUAAACAAUGCGAAAAAUGUGGCUUCUCAGCUGAUAAUUGUGCCAAUCUUAGAGCUUCUUCCUUUUUAUCCCUCUGUAGAAGAUGUCGAAGUAGGCAAUGCAAAAUAGUCUGAGCUUGAGGUGAUGGCUCGAAACAUGGAAACUCUGUACAUGCGGAAAAUGACAUUCUCUGGGAGACGCCAACUACAACUCCAGCAUUUGGAAGCAAACCAAGAGGAUAAACCUCACGAUCAAAAUCCAGCUCCGGAUCCAACUGCAAAAAAUCCUCUUGCUUAAAAACAUCAGCACCAGGAGAUGGAUACCAAACCUGCAUUCCACGGUGGCCAUAGUCUAACCAUGAAACUUCCUCAAUCAAGCUUGCUUUCUCCUCUGACUGACCACAGGUAACCCAAAACAACUCUACGGAGUCCGUAAGUUCUCUUUCUCUCCCCUCAUCCAAAUCAAGAAGUGAAAGCUCUCCAUUUGUCCUUAGUAUUAAGCAUCGGGUAGGCUCUCGGACUGACAGAUCCAAAGAAGUUGGCAGACCACCAUUUCCUGCAAUGCCUUCUCUUGGGAGCUGAUCAGGAAUAAAACGCAUUGAUGCAGGAUGGCUCUUUGCAGUCAUGAUUGAUAGCUCUCGUACUGCAAAUCGGGAGAACUCGAAGGCGUUAGUUCACCAGAUAACUUCACAUGGUAAAUAUGGACAUCGAAAGGUCGGUAAGUGACAAGAAGAUAAUCUUGGUAAACAUCCAUGACCAUCGGUUUGGUAAGCAAAGGUUUCCGACAUAGAAGUGAACUCUGAUCAAGGUGAUAUCUGGGAUAGAAAAGCAAUUCAUACCCGUCAGAGGAAUCAUCAUAAUUGCAGACAACAACAAUCUUCCCAAGCCAUAACAAGCCUCUGCACUGGAUCUUUUGUUCCUGAGUGACAUCUCCAAAAACUCUCCACUUUUUCAAUCUUAUGUCAUAUAAGAUAAGUCCAUGAAGGCCAGCAGCUGCUAAGUACAUUCCAUCCUUGCU
This 1250-nucleotide unclassified non-coding RNA is filed under the name Hevea brasiliensis (rubber tree). The record is from RNAcentral. Lineage: Eukaryota; Viridiplantae; Streptophyta; Magnoliopsida; Malpighiales; Euphorbiaceae.